This 245-nucleotide ribosomal RNA is filed under the name uncultured archaeon. RNAcentral's name for it is "partial 16S ribosomal RNA". It matches the Rfam family "Archaeal small subunit ribosomal RNA", at positions 474 to 718 of the family's 1478-position model. The record is from RNAcentral.
CACCGGCGGCCCGAGUGGUAACCGCUAUUAUUGGGUUUAAAGGGUUCGUAGCCGGCCUAUUAAGUCUCUUGGGAAAUCUGGCGGCUUAACCGUCAGGAGGCCAAGAGAUACUGGUAGGCUUGGGACCGGAAGAGGUGGGAGGUACUCCAGGGGUAGGGGUGAAAUCUCGUAAUCCUUGGAGGACCACCGAAGGCGAAGGCAUCCCACCAGGACGGGUCCGACGGUGAGGGACGAAAGCUGGGGGC